This 416-nucleotide long non-coding RNA is filed under the name Nicotiana benthamiana. RNAcentral describes it as "long non-coding RNA (NBEN_LNC029402)". The record is from RNAcentral. Lineage: Eukaryota; Viridiplantae; Streptophyta; Magnoliopsida; Solanales; Solanaceae.
ACGCAACUGCAAUUUCAUUGCAAGAACGAAUUCGAAAGUACAGGUUUAGAUGGGUAUGGCAUACCUUAAACAAAAAUCAACAGAAAAAUGACCGAAUAAGGUUUAAUUUUCGAAGCUGGAACUCAACCACUAAACUUAGAAUCAACAGCCUAAAAAAAUCAGCAGCAAUCAAUAGAUGAACAACCAUCCAAUUUUCUAAAAAUUUCUUUUGAAUGUUUUUUUUGAAAACAUAGGACACCAGAUCUGACAUAACCAAACAGAGCUCAUGUAGGUCAGGAGCAGAUGGAGAAGACCAGCGGCUGAUUUUGGUGAAGGUUGUUUUGUUGACGGAAUUCUUAGCCCUGGGGUGGAGAAUAUUUAGGUCUCUUUUCGUGAGAGAGAAAAAUGAGAGGUUGGGAAAAUAUUUUGAACAAAAU